CCAUAUGAGAGAAUUAUACGGUCCGGCCUGCUCACUGAAUUUUUUUUAAGAGCCGCGGUAUUAUGACCGUGCAAAGGUAGCAUAAUCAUUAGUUUUUUAAUUGAAAACUUGUAUGAAUGGUUAGACAAAAGAAAGGCUGUCUCCUGUUUUUAGCUUGAACUUUACUUUUAAGUGAAAAGGCUUAAAUUCUUUAGGGGGACGAUAAGACCCUAUGAAGCUUUAUAAUAAGUGUAGAUAUUACUGGUAUAGAAUAUAAAAUUAAAAUAUACAAAUAUUAUUUUAUUGGGGCGAUAUUAAUAUAAUUAAUUUAACUGUUAAAGUAACAAACACUUAUAAGUGGUAAAAUGAUCCUUUGUUUUGAAGAUUAAAAGAUUAAGUUACUCUAGGGAUAACAGGGUAAUUUCUUUUGAGAGUCCUUAUUGAAAAAGAAGUUUGCCACCUCGAUGUUGAAUUAAAAUAUCCGGAUGGUGCAGCCGCCAUAAGGGNAAGGUCUGUUCGACCUUUAAAAUUUU
This 512-nucleotide ribosomal RNA is filed under the name Epialtus bituberculatus. RNAcentral describes it as "partial large subunit ribosomal RNA". It matches the Rfam family "Bacterial large subunit ribosomal RNA", at positions 1831 to 2597 of the family's 2925-position model. The record is from RNAcentral. Lineage: Eukaryota; Metazoa; Arthropoda; Malacostraca; Decapoda; Epialtidae.